GAUGAACGCUGGCGGCGUGCCUAAUACAUGCAAGUCGAGCGAACGGACGAGAAGCUUGCUUCUCUGAUGUUAGCGGCGGACGGGUGAGUAACACGUGGACAACCUACCUAUAAGACUGGGAUAACUUCGGGAAACCGGAGCUAAUACCGGAUAAUAUUUUGAACCGCAUGGUUCAAAAGUGAAAGACGGUCUUGCUGUCACUUAUAGAUGGAUCCGCGCUGCAUUAGCUAGUUGGUAAGGUAACGGCUUACCAAGGCAACGAUGCAUAGCCGACCUGAGAGGGUGAUCGGCCACACUGGAACUGAGACACGGUCCAGACUCCUACGGGAGGCAGCAGUAGGGAAUCUUCCGCAAUGGGCGAAAGCCUGACGGAGCAACGCCGCGUGAGUGAUGAAGGUCUUCGGAUCGUAAAACUCUGUUAUUAGGGAAGAACAUAUGUGUAAGUAACUGUGCACAUCUUGACGGUACCUAAUCAGAAAGCCACGGCUAACUACGUGCCAGCAGCCGCGGUAAUACGUAGGUGGCAAGCGUUAUCCGGAAUUAUUGGGCGUAAAGCGCGCGUAGGCGGUUUUUUAAGUCUGAUGUGAAAGCCCACGGCUCAACCGUGGAGGGUCAUUGGAAACUGGAAAACUUGAGUGCAGAAGAGGAAAGUGGAAUUCCAUGUGUAGCGGUGAAAUGCGCAGAGAUAUGGAGGAACACCAGUGGCGAAGGCGACUUUCUGGUCUGUAACUGACGCUGAUGUGCGAAAGCGUGGGGAUCAAACAGGAUUAGAUACCCUGGUAGUCCACGCCGUAAACGAUGAGUGCUAAGUGUUAGGGGGUUUCCGCCCCUUAGUGCUGCAGCUAACGCAUUAAGCACUCCGCCUGGGGAGUACGACCGCAAGGUUGAAACUCAAAGGAAUUGACGGGGACCCGCACAAGCGGUGGAGCAUGUGGUUUAAUUCGAAGCAACGCGAAGAACCUUACCAAAUCUUGACAUCCUUUGACAACUCUAGAGAUAGAGCCUUCCCCUUCGGGGGACAAAGUGACAGGUGGUGCAUGGUUGUCGUCAGCUCGUGUCGUGAGAUGUUGGGUUAAGUCCCGCAACGAGCGCAACCCUUAAGCUUAGUUGCCAUCAUUAAGUUGGGCACUCUAAGUUGACUGCCGGUGACAAACCGGAGGAAGGUGGGGAUGACGUCAAAUCAUCAUGCCCCUUAUGAUUUGGGCUACACACGUGCUACAAUGGACAAUACAAAGGGCAGCGAAACCGCGAGGUCAAGCAAAUCCCAUAAAGUUGUUCUCAGUUCGGAUUGUAGUCUGCAACUCGACUACAUGAAGCUGGAAUCGCUAGUAAUCGUAGAUCAGCAUGCUACGGUGAAUACGUUCCCGGGUCU
Molecule: ribosomal RNA, 1372 nt
Filed under: uncultured bacterium
Lineage: Bacteria
Description: bacterial SSU rRNA
Rfam family: Bacterial small subunit ribosomal RNA
Source: RNAcentral